CAGGCUGCUGAACAGGUCUGUGGUGAAAGCCCGAAGCUAAACUUCAGUAAGCCAUAGAAACCGGGCAGCUAGAGUGCAGGAGAGGAUCGUGGAAUUCCAUGUGUAGCGGUGAAAUGCGUAGAUAUAUGGAGGAACACCAGUGGCGAAGGCGACGAUCUGGCCUGCAACUGACGCUCAGUCCCGAAAGCGUGGGGAGCAAAUAG
Molecule: ribosomal RNA, 203 nt
Filed under: uncultured bacterium
Lineage: Bacteria
Description: partial 16S ribosomal RNA
Rfam family: Bacterial small subunit ribosomal RNA
Source: RNAcentral